CACGCCGUAAACGAUGAGUACUAGGUGUAGGGGGUAUCGACCCCCCCUGUGCCGCAGUAAACACAAUAAGUACUCCGCCUGGGAAGUACGAUCGCAAGAUUAAAACUCAAAGGAAUUGACGGGUCCCCGCACAAGCAGUGGAGCAUGAGGUUUAAUUCGACGCUACGCGAAGAACCUUACCAGAACUUGACAUGGCGGAUAAUGCUGCAGAAAUGCAGAGAUAAUACCCGCACACAGGUGG
RNAcentral lists this ribosomal RNA (241 nucleotides) under uncultured bacterium. RNAcentral describes it as "partial 16S ribosomal RNA". It matches the Rfam family "Bacterial small subunit ribosomal RNA", at positions 796 to 1041 of the family's 1533-position model. The record is from RNAcentral.